CUAUAGCGUAGUGAAUCAUCGAAUCUUUGAACGCACAUUGCGCCUUAGGCUGCCUCAGCGUCGGGUUAAUAUCGCUCCCCCUUAUCCCUAGUGGAUAAAGAGAGGCGGAUCUGGCUGUUCCAGCUAUGCAGCUUGAACUUUGUUCAAGCAUCUAAGCACCUGGAUCAGCUGAAGACCAGAGGCUAACCAAAGACCCGUCAAGGGCCGCAACUGGGUGGGCUGUCAAAGGCUAUAUUCUUAGUUGUUGGUCUGGGACUUUGUGUUUGGCCCUCAAACAGGAACCUAUAUUAACCAUUAUCUCGACCUGAGCUCAGGCAAGAACACCCGCUGAACUUAAGCAUAUCAAUAAGCGGAGG
This 356-nucleotide ribosomal RNA is filed under the name uncultured Basidiomycota. RNAcentral describes it as "eukaryotic LSU rRNA". The stretch from base 301 to 356 matches the Rfam family "Eukaryotic large subunit ribosomal RNA", at positions 1 to 56 of the family's 3401-position model. Lineage: Eukaryota; Fungi; Basidiomycota. The record is from RNAcentral.